GCAGUCUGCCGGUCUGUCGCUCAAUCGUUUGAUUGAGAGGAAAGUCCGGGCAACACAGAGCGCCAUACUUCCUAACGGGAAGCUGUCUGCGAGGGCAGAGUAGCGUAACAGAAAAAAACCGUUCCGCAGAAAAACGGAAUAAGGGUGAAAAGGUGAGGUAAGAGCUCACCGGGUAUUAUAGCAAUAUAGUAUGCCGUACGCCUUAUGGGUUGUAAGAUCAUGUACACCGGCGCAUGUAGGAUGGCUCGUCCGAUGCCGGGGGGUAGAUCGCUAAAGCCUGCCGGCGACGGCAGGACGAGAUAAAUGGCAGACACUUACGCUGCAAAGCGUUAGUACAGAACCCGGCUUACAGGCAGACUGCGUUU
RNAcentral lists this RNase P RNA (365 nucleotides) under Tannerellaceae bacterium. RNAcentral describes it as "RNase P RNA component class A". It matches the Rfam family "Bacterial RNase P class A". Rfam says of the family: Ribonuclease P (RNase P) is a ubiquitous endoribonuclease, found in archaea, bacteria and eukarya as well as chloroplasts and mitochondria. Its best characterised activity is the generation of mature 5'-ends of tRNAs by cleaving the 5'-leader elements of precursor-tRNAs. The record is from RNAcentral. Lineage: Bacteria; Pseudomonadati; Bacteroidota; Bacteroidia; Bacteroidales; Tannerellaceae.